Molecule: non-coding RNA, 31 nt
Filed under: Rattus norvegicus (Norway rat)
Lineage: Eukaryota; Metazoa; Chordata; Mammalia; Rodentia; Muridae
Source: RNAcentral
UGGGAUUAAAGGUGUGUGACACCAUGCCCAA